AUUGAACGCUGGCGGCAGGCCUAACACAUGCAAGUCGAGCGGAUGAGGGGUGCUUGCACCCCGAUUCAGCGGCGGACGGGUGAGUAAUGCCUAGGAAUCUGCCCGAUAGUGGGGGACAACGUUUCGAAAGGAACGCUAAUACCGCAUACGUCCUACGGGAGAAAGUGGGGGCUCUUCGGACCUCACGCUAUCGGAUGGGCCUGGGUCGGAUUAGCUAGUUGGUGGGGUAAAGGCUCACCAAGGCGACGAUCCGUAACUGGUCUGAGAGGAUGAUCAGUCACACUGGAACUGAGACACGGUCCAGACUCCUACGGGAGGCAGCAGUGGGGAGUAUUGGACAAUGGGCGAAAGCCUGAUCCAGCCAUGCCGCGUGUGUGAAGAAGGUCUUCGGAUUGUAAAGCACUUUAAGUCGGGAGGAAGGGCUGUAGGUUAAUACCUUGCAGCCUUGACGUUACCGACAGAAUAAGCACCGGCUAACUUCGUGCCAGCAGCCGCAGUAA
This 500-nucleotide ribosomal RNA is filed under the name uncultured bacterium. RNAcentral's name for it is "partial 16S ribosomal RNA". It matches the Rfam family "Bacterial small subunit ribosomal RNA", at positions 30 to 523 of the family's 1533-position model. The record is from RNAcentral.